Molecule: ribosomal RNA, 433 nt
Filed under: uncultured bacterium
Lineage: Bacteria
Description: partial 16S ribosomal RNA
Rfam family: Bacterial small subunit ribosomal RNA
Source: RNAcentral
AACGAACGCUGGCGGCAUGCCUAACACAUGCAAGUCGAACGAUCCCUUCGGGGAUAGUGGCGCACGGGUGCGUAACGCGUGGGAACCUGCCCUUAGGUUCGGAAUAACUCAGAGAAAUUUGAGCUAAUACCGGAUAAUGUCUUCGGACCAAAGAUUUAUCGCCUUUGGAUGGGCCCGCGUUGGAUUAGCUAGUUGGUGGGGUAAAGGCCUACCAAGGCGACGAUCCAUAGCUGGUCUGAGAGGAUGAUCAGCCACACUGGGACUGAGACACGGCCCAGACUCCUACGGGAGGCAGCAGUGGGGAAUAUUGGACAAUGGGCGAAAGCCUGAUCCAGCAAUGCCGCGUGAGUGAUGAAGGCCUUAGGGUUGCAAAGCUCUUUUACCCGGGAUGAUAAUGACAGUACCGGGAGAAUAAGCCCCGGCUAACUCCGUG